AUUGAACGCUGGCGGCAUGCUUUACACAUGCAAGUCGAACGGUAACAGGCCGCAAGGUGCUGACGAGUGGCGAACGGGUGAGUAAUGCAUCGGAACGUGCCCAGUCGUGGGGGAUAACGCAGCGAAAGCUGUGCUAAUACCGCAUACGCCCUGAGGGGAAAGCGGGGGAUCGAAAGACCUCGCGCGAUUAGAGCGGCCGAUGCCUGAUUAGCUUGUUGGUGGGGUAAAAGCCCACCAAGGCGACGAUCCAUAGCUGGUCUGAGAGGAUGAUCAGCCACACUGGGACUGAGACACGGCCCAGACUCCUACGGGAGGCAGCAGUGGGGAAUAUUGGACAAUGGGGGAAACCCUGAUCCAGCAAUGCCGCGUGAGUGAAGAAGGCCUUCGGGUUGUAAAGCUCUUUUGUCAGGGAAGAAACAGCAGCUCUAACACAGUCUGCGAAUGACGGUACCUGAAGAAUAAGCACCGGCUAACUACGUG
Molecule: ribosomal RNA, 480 nt
Filed under: uncultured bacterium
Lineage: Bacteria
Description: bacterial SSU rRNA
Rfam family: Bacterial small subunit ribosomal RNA
Source: RNAcentral